This 1390-nucleotide long non-coding RNA is filed under the name Chinchilla lanigera (long-tailed chinchilla). RNAcentral's name for it is "lncRNA (ENSCLAG00000028436.1)". Lineage: Eukaryota; Metazoa; Chordata; Mammalia; Rodentia; Chinchillidae. The record is from RNAcentral.
CCUUCUUCCUCUUUUUUUUUUUUUUUCUUUUUCUGUUGUACUGGAGAUCAAUAAGCUACAUCGUUAGUCUUUUUAAAAAAUUUUAUCUUGAUACAAGGUCUUGCUAAGUCUCUAAGUUGCCUAGAAUAGGCUCAAAUUUAUGAUCCUUCUGCCUCAACCUCCUAGAGUGCUGGGAUUACAGGUGUGUGCCUCCACACCCUGCUUGAACUUGACUUCUUAAAGACUUCUGUCUAAUCGUUGCAUGCGUGACAAAAGUGACAAAAAAAAAGAGUUUUUGACAGUCUAUAAUAAUUGUCACUUUUCUGUAGGAAACUCAGCCAACCGAGCGCCAGGCCCGUGUGAAGAAAGAUUACUCCAACUUCAUGGCUUCUCUGAAUUUUGGCAGCUACUAUGCAAGAGAGAUCGUGACCCGCAGCUUCUCCAACCUGUGUGUUGGGGGGGCCUCUGGAUCUUCAACAAGCAUGGCAUGGAGACUGCCUUGGCCUGCUGGGAGUGGCUGCUGGUUGGUGAGAAUGGAGUGGAAAUGACAGUUGGCUCACAGUCUCUCAGUGAGGGCCUCAUACGAGAUAGAAGAGGCUGCCCUGGAAGGAUGCUGGCAAGCCUGUCACCCUCGCUAGCCUUGGUCUUCUCAUAGGUUGUGCUGUUCCUGCCUGACUAAACAAACAUGGAAAUGCAGAACUCAGCGUAUGUUAGAGUAGCGCUUGUAGAGGGGUAGUUUUCCAAACGCUCGGUAGGGGGAGCCAUUUCUCCACUGAAAUUAGAAGGCUGUCAGUUGAAGGCUGUUAAUACUGGCUCUAUGGGGUAUGUAUGCAUUUGUCAGUAAGGACAGGUGUUUCGGCCUCCAUACUUUGGGAUCAGCAAAUUUCCCCCGAAUCUAUAUUUUUGGAGUUGCUAUUGCACAGGACUUAUAGGCAAGGUUAUACAGGUUACGUAUGCCUCAUUCAAAAUGCUUAGAACCAGAGGGUUUUCAGACUCUGGAUUUUUUCAGAUUUUGGAGUAUUUGCAUAUAUAAUGACAUAUCUCAGACAGAACCCAGUUCUAGACACAAAAUUAAUUUAUGCUUCAUGUACCCCUUAUGCACAUAGGUUGGGGGUAAUUUUAUACAAUAUUUUUAGGCUACCUGUCUUUUUACUCUGACUGAUUACAUGACUUCCAGGUGUGGCUUUGUAUCAGUACUCAGAAUGUUUCAGGAUUUGGAGUUUUUCAAAUUUCAGAUUUUCAGAUUACGGUUGCCUGAACUGUACCCACCUUUCAGCAGAAGGGGAAUGUCUAAGAAUCUAAGAACGGUCAGGCUGGCAUAAUAUGAAGAGAAAUAGCUGGUAAACAUUGUUUCUGUUAUUUUUGCCGAGGUGAUAUUGGAGUCUGGCUUUCCGUUUUUGGGUAUAUUAGU